GACGAACGCUGGCGGCGUGCUUAACACAUGCAAGUCGAACGGAAAGGCCCUGCUUUUGUGGGGUUCUCGUGUGGCGAACGGGUGAGUAACACGUGAGUAACCUGCCCUUGACUUUGGGAUAACUUCAGGAAACUGGGGCUAAUACCGGAUAGGAGCUCCUGCUGCAUGGUGGGGGUUGGAAAGUUUCGGCGGUUGGGGAUGGACUCGCGGCUUAUGAGCUUGUUGGUGGGGUAGUGGCUUACCAAGCCUUUGACGGGUAGCCGGCCUGAGAGGGUGACCGGCCACAUUGGGACUGAGAUACGGCCCAGACUCCUACGGUAGGCAGCAGUGGGGAAUAUUGCACAAUGGGCGGAAGCGUGAUGCAGCAGCGCCGCGUGCGGGAUGACGGCCUUCGGGUUGUAAACCGCUUUCGCCUGUGACGAGGCGUGAGUGACGGUAAUGAGUAAAGAAGCACCGGCUAACUACGUG
RNAcentral lists this ribosomal RNA (468 nucleotides) under uncultured bacterium. Its description in RNAcentral is "partial 16S ribosomal RNA". It matches the Rfam family "Bacterial small subunit ribosomal RNA", at positions 28 to 507 of the family's 1533-position model. The record is from RNAcentral.